UGAGUGGCGAACGGGUGAGUAACACGUGAGUAACCUGCCCUCUUCUUUGGGAUAACGCCCGGAAACGGGUGCUAAUACUGGAUAUUCACUGGCCUUCGCAUGGGGGUUGGUGGAGAGGUUUGUUCUGGUGGGGGAUGGGCUCGCGGCCUAUCAGCUUGUUGGUGGGGUGAUGGCCUACCAAGGCUUUGACGGGUAGCCGGCCUGAGAGGGUGACCGGUCACAUUGGGACUGAGAUACGGCCCAG
RNAcentral lists this ribosomal RNA (244 nucleotides) under uncultured bacterium. Its description in RNAcentral is "partial 16S ribosomal RNA". It matches the Rfam family "Bacterial small subunit ribosomal RNA", at positions 92 to 334 of the family's 1533-position model. The record is from RNAcentral.